CGUUACCAAACUGUUGCCUCGGCGGGAUCUUCUGCCCCGGGUGCGUCGCAGCCCCGGACCAAGGCGCCCGCCGGAGGAAUCAACCAAAACUCUUAUUGUAUACCCCCUCGCGGGUUUUUUUUUAUAAUCUGAGCCUUCUCGGCGCCUCUCGUAGGCGUUUCGAAAAUGAAUCAAAGCUUUCAACAACGGAUCUCUUGGUUCUGGCAUCGAUGAAGAACGCAGCGAAAUGCGAUAAGUAAUGUGAAUUGCAGAAUUCAGUGAAUCAUCGAAUCUUUGAACGCACAUUGCGCCCGCCAGUAUUCUGGCGGGCAUGCCUGUCCGAGCGUCAUUUCAACCCUCGAACCCCUCCGGGGGGUCGGCGUUGGGGAUCGGCCUUCCUUCACGGGGGCCGUCUCCGAAAUACAGUGGCGGUCUCGCCGCAGCCUCUCCUGCGCAGUAGUUUGCACACUCGCAUCGGGAGCGCGGCGCGUCCACAGCCGUUAAACACCCAACUUUCUGAAAUGUUGACCUCGGAUCAGGUAGGAANNNNNGCUGAACUUA
This 540-nucleotide ribosomal RNA is filed under the name uncultured Hypocreaceae. RNAcentral describes it as "eukaryotic LSU rRNA". The stretch from base 175 to 328 matches the Rfam family "5.8S ribosomal RNA". The record is from RNAcentral. Lineage: Eukaryota; Fungi; Ascomycota; Sordariomycetes; Hypocreales.